Molecule: long non-coding RNA, 788 nt
Filed under: Rattus norvegicus (Norway rat)
Lineage: Eukaryota; Metazoa; Chordata; Mammalia; Rodentia; Muridae
Description: long non-coding RNA NONRATT005286
Source: RNAcentral
CUCUCUCUCUCUCCAAACUUGAUUUUCUCCCUCCCUCCUUUCCUUUCGUUAUUUUCUUUGAGAUGUGGACUCUGGUCCAGGCUUAUCUCAAACUAGCCCAGGAUUACAGGCACAAACCAUCAGACCUAGUUUAUGCAGAACUGGAGAUCAAACCCAGGGAUUCGUGUAGCUAGGCAAGCACUCUGCCGACUGAGUCACACCUUUAUCUCCCAAGUUUCAUGCUCUGAGUGGCUAUCAUGCUGAUAUCUGGGUGACUAGAGGCCCUACCUUAGGGACCCCAUGCCCCCAGCCUUUAUCCUUGUUUCCUACAGGUGAGCCUCAGGGACUGUCACAACGUGUCUGUGUUCCUGGCUCCCAGUGUGGUAGGUCGUGGGUCUGCUGUCCUGCUGGGAGAUCAGGGCCACAGUCUUGGCUCUUGGAUACUCUCAGGCCUGGAAUAUGUUCUGGGCCCAGUUGGAUGGCACAGCUUUUUCUUACCUGUUCCUGUGCCCUCCUCCCUCCUUUUCUUUCCUACAGCUCCCUCUGCUGGAGGACAAGCUGCAAGUGGAGCUUCCUGCAGGGGCCCGUGUGGUGUCUGGACGGUUCCCCUUUCCCACAUGGAAGCCUGUAGCCGUGGUGGGCGAGGGCACCGACAGAGUUUGGGCCUAUGAUGUCCACGGUGCUGGGCCAGCUGUGUCUUCCAGUGGGGUGCCCAUCAAGGCCAUCCCAGAGUCCAGUUCUACCUAGAUCCCUAGGGCCCCUGCUUGACAAGCUGGCUGAUUGGAUAAAAUAAAGACUCUGUGGGUUCA